Molecule: ribosomal RNA, 253 nt
Filed under: uncultured bacterium
Lineage: Bacteria
Description: partial 16S ribosomal RNA
Rfam family: Bacterial small subunit ribosomal RNA
Source: RNAcentral
UACAGAGGGUGCAAGCGUUGUUCGGAAUUAUUGGGCGUAAAGCGCACGUAGGCGGAUAUUUAAGUCAGGGGUGAAAUCCCAGAGCUCAACUCUGGAACUGCCUUUGAUACUGGGUAUCUUGAGUAUGGAAGAGGUAAGUGGAAUUGCGAGUGUAGAGGUGAAAUUCGUAGAUAUUCGCAGGAACACCAGUGGCGAAGGCGGCUUACUGGUCCAUUACUGACGCUGAGGUGCGAAAGCGUGGGGAGCAAACAGG